UUGGAGGGCAAGUCUGGUGCCAGCAGCCGCGGUAAUUCCAGCUCCAAUAGCGUAUAUUAAAGUUGUUGCAGUUAAAAAGCUUGUAGUUGAAUUUCGGGGUUAGUAGGUUGGUCAUGCCACUGGUAUGUACUGGUCUCACUGAUUCCUCCUUCCUGAUGAGACGUAAUGCCAUUAAUUUGGUGUUGCGAGGAAUCUGGACUGUUACUUUGAAAAAAUUAGAGUGUUUAAAGCAGGCUAACGCUUGAAUACAUUAGCAUGGAAUAAUGAAAUAGGACGUUCGAUCUUAUUCUGUUGGUUUCUAGGAUUGACGUAAUGAUCAAUAGGGAUAGUUGGGGGCAUUAGUAUUCAAUUGUCAGAGGUGAAAUUCUUGGAUUUAUUGAAGACUAACUACUGCGAAAGCAUAUGCCAAGGAUGUUUUCAUUAAUCAAGAACGAAAGUUAGGGGAUCGAAGACGAUCAGAUACCGUCGUAGUCUUAACCAUAAACUAUGCCGACUAGGGAUCGGAUGAUGUUAAUUUUUUAAUGACUCAUUCGGCGCCUUACGGGAAACCAAAGUGUUUGGGUUC
Molecule: ribosomal RNA, 565 nt
Filed under: uncultured Glomeromycotina
Lineage: Eukaryota; Fungi; Glomeromycota
Description: SSU rRNA
Rfam family: Eukaryotic small subunit ribosomal RNA
Source: RNAcentral